GCCCCAAUUUAUUGGGACAUGGCAAACGGGAGAGUAACACAUUGGUAAUCUACCCUGAGGUUGAGAAUAACCCGGAGAAAUUCGGAAUAAUACUCAAUGACAGUGGGGGGACAUAAGUCAUUCCCACUUAAAGCUCCGGCACCUCGGGAGGAGCCUAUGGACUAUCAGCUUGUUGGUGAGGGUAAAAGCCCACCAAGGCUAUGACGGUUAGCGGGUGUGAGAGCAUGACCCGUCUCACUGGGACUGAGACACUGCCCAGACUCCUACGGGAGGCUGCAGUCGAGAAUCUUCCUCAAUGGCCGAAAGGCUGAAGGAGCGACGCCGCGUGCAUGAAGAAGCUCUUCGGAGUGUAAAGUGCUUUUAUUAGGGACGAAUCAAUGACGGUACCUAAUGAAUAAGGGGCUGCUAACUUCGUGCCAGCAGCAGCGGUAAUACGAAGGCCCCAAGCGUUAUCCGGAUUUAUUGGGCGUAAAGGGUCCGUAGGCGGCUUUAUGCAUCUCCUGUUAAAUCUAUCGGCUCAACCGGUAGGCCGCGGGAGAGAUGGUAAAGCUAGAGGCCGGAAGAGGCAAGCGGAAUUGCUGGUGUAGGGGUUAAAUCCGUUAAUAUCAGCAGGAACACCAAAUGCGAAGGCAGCUUGCUAGAACGGUUCUGACGCUGAGGGACGAAAGCGUGGGGAGCGAAUGGGAUU
RNAcentral lists this ribosomal RNA (688 nucleotides) under uncultured bacterium. RNAcentral describes it as "bacterial SSU rRNA". It matches the Rfam family "Bacterial small subunit ribosomal RNA", at positions 68 to 779 of the family's 1533-position model. The record is from RNAcentral.